UGGGGAAUUUUGGACAAUGGGCGCAAGCCUGAUCCAGCCAUGCCGCGUGCGGGAAGAAGGCCUUCGGGUUGUAAACCGCUUUUGUCAGGGAAGAAAUCUUCUGAGUUAAUACCUCGGGAGGAUGACGGUACCUGAAGAAUAAGCACCGGCUAACUACGUGCCAGCAGCCGCGGUAAUACGUAGGGUGCAAGCGUUAAUCGGAAUUACUGGGCGUAAAGCGUGCGCAGGCGGUUUUGUAAGACAGAGGUGAAAUCCCCGGGCUCAACCUGGGAACUGCCUUUGUGACUGCAAGGCUUGAGUGCGGCAGAGGGGGAUGGAAUUCCGCGUGUAGCAGUGAAAUGCGUAGAUAUGCGGAGGAACACCGAUGGCGAAGGCAAUCCCCUGGGCCUGCACUGACGCUCAUGCACGAAAAGCGUGGGGAGCAAACAGGAUUAGAUACCCUGGUAGUCCACGCCCUAAAACGAUGUCAACUGGUUGUUGGGAAGGUUCCUUCUCAGUAAACGUAGCUAACGCGUGAAGUUGACCGCCUGGGGAGUACGGCCGCAAA
RNAcentral lists this ribosomal RNA (547 nucleotides) under uncultured bacterium. RNAcentral describes it as "partial 16S ribosomal RNA". It matches the Rfam family "Bacterial small subunit ribosomal RNA", at positions 355 to 892 of the family's 1533-position model. The record is from RNAcentral.